CUCUUAUCAAGAGAGGUGGAGGGACUGGCCCGAUGAAACCCGGCAACCACGAAUUGUUUUUGCAAUUCGAAGGUGCUAAUUCCAACAACACUUAUGUGUUGAAAGAUGAGAG
This 112-nucleotide non-coding RNA is filed under the name Alkaliphilus metalliredigens. RNAcentral's name for it is "SAM-I sequence". It matches the Rfam family "SAM riboswitch aptamer (S box leader)". Rfam says of the family: The SAM riboswitch is found upstream of a number of genes which code for proteins involved in methionine or cysteine biosynthesis in Gram-positive bacteria. The SAM riboswitch acts at the level of transcription termination control. The record is from RNAcentral. RNAcentral also lists the same sequence under 1 other name. Lineage: Bacteria; Bacillati; Bacillota; Clostridia; Peptostreptococcales; Natronincolaceae.